CUUCAGCUUCGGCCUCAGUCAGCCGCGCAGGGACGCGGAGCCCUGCGCCGAGCCCUGCGCUUGCGCUUGCCGGGCGGGCAUGGACGGGCGAGAGGCGUUCUGCAAGCGCGAAAUCGGUGAGCCCGGCCGCCGCGCCGCAGCCCCGCGAGUCUUUCCGAGUCCCGGAGAAUCCUGCACGCGAGAUCCCAGGGCUACCGACCCAUGCGGGCCGUUUCGCUGUUGCUAAAAACCAACGCCCAGGGACUGGGAGAGGAACUGGGGUUCCCAAACUGUUUUUUGGAAGCAGCGAUGAACGGGAUAGUGCAUGACGUGGACGUGCUGGGCGCGGGCAUCUGGCUGGUGGAUCGGGACGGGCUGUACAAGAUGAACCGCCUGUACCUCACUCACCCCCGACGGCUUCUUCUUCCAAGUCCACAUGUUAGUCCUGGACUCCUCCAGCUGCAGUAAACCGUGUCCAGAGUUUAAACCUGG
RNAcentral lists this unclassified non-coding RNA (471 nucleotides) under Homo sapiens (human). RNAcentral describes it as "novel transcript (ENSG00000290493.1)". The record is from RNAcentral. Lineage: Eukaryota; Metazoa; Chordata; Mammalia; Primates; Hominidae.